UACGUAGGGUGCGAGCGUUAAUCGGAAUUACUGGGCGUAAAGCGUGCGCAGGCGGUUUUGUAAGCCAGAUGUGAAAGCCCCGGGCUUAACCUGGGAAUGGCAUUUGGGACUGCAAGGCUUGAGUGCGGCCGAGGAGAGUGGAAUUCCUGGUGUAGCGGUGAAAUGCGCAGAUAUCAGGAAGAACACCCGUGGCGAAGGCGGCUCUCUGGGACGUGACUGACGCUGAGACGCGAAAGCGUGGGGAGCGAACAGG
This 253-nucleotide ribosomal RNA is filed under the name uncultured bacterium. Its description in RNAcentral is "partial 16S ribosomal RNA". It matches the Rfam family "Bacterial small subunit ribosomal RNA", at positions 524 to 776 of the family's 1533-position model. The record is from RNAcentral.